GACGAACGCUGGCGGCGUGCUUAACACAUGCAAGUCGAACGGAAAGGCCCUGCUUUUGUGGGGUGCUCGAGUGGCGAACGGGUGAGUAGCACGUGAGUAACCUGCCCUUGACCUUGGGAUAACUUCAGGAAACUGGGGCUAAUACCGGAUAGGAGCUCCUGCUGCAUGGUGGGGGUUGGAAAGUUUCGGCGGUUGGGGAUGGACUCGCGGCUUAUCAGCUUGUUGGUGGGGUAGUGGCUUACCAAGGCUUUGACGGGUAGCCGGCCUGAGAGGGUGACCGGCCACAUUGGGACUGAGAUACGGCCCAGACUCCUACGGGAGGCAGCAGUGGGGAAUAUUGCACAAUGGGCGGAAGCCUGAUGCAGCAACGCCGCGUGCGGGGUGACGGCCUUCGGGUUGUAAACCGCUUUCGCCUGUGACGAAGCGUGAGUGACGGUAAUGGGUAAAGAAGCACCGGCUAACUACGUG
Molecule: ribosomal RNA, 468 nt
Filed under: uncultured bacterium
Lineage: Bacteria
Description: partial 16S ribosomal RNA
Rfam family: Bacterial small subunit ribosomal RNA
Source: RNAcentral